Molecule: long non-coding RNA, 500 nt
Organism: Protopterus annectens (West African lungfish)
Lineage: Eukaryota; Metazoa; Chordata; Ceratodontiformes; Protopteridae
Exons: 3
Source: RefSeq, a predicted model, not a curated record
CCUGACACUCACACCCACACACUGAAACGGCAGCUUUUUUGAUUCGAAACACCUCACAAAAUGCGUAACAGAUUCUCCUUCGGAUUUCCGAUCAGCUAAGCCGAUUACUUAGCUUCGCGAUGGGGGACCCAUAUACCAGACAGACCUCUGGAUGUGCCACAUUGUAAAUAAGACUUCUGAGGCAUCAAAACCACUUUCGGUUCCUCUCGUGGGAAAAUUGGAUGACAUGGAGGUUGUAGAUUUCCGGUUAUCAGUUUUGUGGCUUAAAGAUCAGAAAAAAGGUCGUACCAGCCCUAAAAUACAGCCUAGAUCAAGGAAAAUAACAAAUAUACAAAAAGAACGACCUCAGCUGGUAGUAGGAGAUGUAACGGACCUCGGAGGUCUCGCGGACCGCAUCUGAACUUGGCACUAAUUCUCUGAAGGAGCUGAUGAGGACUAUGCCCAAAAUCUUGCAUUGUGCAUAAAGGAUAUGCACCAGGUUGAGGAAUAGCAGAGGGAGA